Molecule: ribosomal RNA, 291 nt
Filed under: uncultured Flavobacteriaceae bacterium
Lineage: Bacteria; Pseudomonadati; Bacteroidota; Flavobacteriia; Flavobacteriales; Flavobacteriaceae
Description: partial 16S ribosomal RNA
Rfam family: Bacterial small subunit ribosomal RNA
Source: RNAcentral
UGACGAGUUUGAUCCUGGCUCAGGAUGAACGCUAGCGGCAGGCUUAACACAUGCAAGUCGAGGGGUAGAAGUUGCUUGCAACUUUGAGACCGGCGCACGGGUGCGUAACGCGUAUGCAAUCUACCUUUUACAGAGGGAUAGCCCAGAGAAAUUUGGAUUAAUACCUCAUAGUAUGUGAGAAUCGCAUGGUUUUCACAUUAAAGUUCCAACGGUAAAAGAUGAGCAUGCGUCCCAUUAGCUAGAUGGUAAGGUAACGGCUUACCAUGGCGACGAUGGGUAGGGGUCCUGAGA